UACGGAGGGUGCGAGCGUUGUCCGGAAUCACUGGGCGUAAAGGGCGCGUAGGCGGCUCGGUAAGUAGGGGGUGAAAUCCUGCGGCUUAACCGCAGGGCUGCCUUCUAAACUGUCGAGCUCGAGCACGGUAGAGGCAGAUGGAAUUCCCGGUGUAGCGGUGGAAUGCGUAGAGAUCGGGAAGAACAUCGGUGGCGAAGGCGGUCUGCUGGGCCGUUGCUGACGCUGAGGCGCGACAGCGUGGGGAGCAAACAGG
This 253-nucleotide ribosomal RNA is filed under the name uncultured bacterium. Its description in RNAcentral is "partial 16S ribosomal RNA". It matches the Rfam family "Bacterial small subunit ribosomal RNA", at positions 524 to 776 of the family's 1533-position model. The record is from RNAcentral.